GGAAUAUUGGACAAUGGGCGAAAGCCUGAUCCAGCCACGCCGCGUGAGUGAUGAAGGCCUUCGGGUCGUAAAGCUCUGUGGGGAGGGACGAACCGCCGGAUGUGCAUAGCAUCCGGCAUGACGGUACCUCCUUAGCAAGCACCGGCUAACUUCGUGCCAGCAGCCGCGGUAAUACGAAGGGUGCAAACGUUGCUCGGAAUUAUUGGGCGUAAAGCGCACGUAGGCGGCAUUGCAAGUCGGAUGUGAAAGCCCAUGGCUUAACCAUGGAAGUGCAUCCGAAACUGCAGUGCUUGAGUACUUAAGAGGAUCGCGGAAUUCCCGGUGUAGAGGUGAAAUUCGUAGAUAUCGGGAGGAACACCAGUGGCGAAGGCGGCGAUCUGGGAAGAUACUGACGCUGAGGUGCGAAAGCGUGGGGAGC
RNAcentral lists this ribosomal RNA (418 nucleotides) under uncultured bacterium. RNAcentral describes it as "bacterial SSU rRNA". It matches the Rfam family "Bacterial small subunit ribosomal RNA", at positions 358 to 769 of the family's 1533-position model. The record is from RNAcentral.